GAUGAACGCUGGCGGCGUGCUUAACACAUGCAAGUCGAACGGAAAGGCUCCUGCUUGCAGGGGUACUCGAGUGGCGAACGGGUGAGUAGCACGUGGGUGAUCUGCCCUGCACUUCGGGAUAAGCCUGGGAAACUGGGUCUAAUACCGGAUAGGACCACAUUUUGGAUGGUGUGGUGGAAAGUUUUUCGGUGUGGGAUGAGCUCGCGGCCUAUCAGCUUGUUGGUGGGGUAAUGGCCUACCAAGGCGUCGACGGGUAGCCGGCCUGAGAGGGUGUACGGCCACAUUGGGACUGAGAUACGGCCCAGACUCCUACGGGAGGCAGCAGUGGGGAAUAUUGCACAAUGGGCGCAAGCCUGAUGCAGCGACGCCGCGUGGGGGAUGACGGCCUUCGGGUUGUAAACUCCUUUCGCUAGGGACGAAGCGCAAGUGACGGUACCUGGAGAAGAAGCACCGGCUAACUACGUG
RNAcentral lists this ribosomal RNA (465 nucleotides) under uncultured bacterium. RNAcentral's name for it is "partial 16S ribosomal RNA". It matches the Rfam family "Bacterial small subunit ribosomal RNA", at positions 28 to 507 of the family's 1533-position model. The record is from RNAcentral.